UACUACUCUCUUACGACUGACAA
Molecule: non-coding RNA, 23 nt
Filed under: Arabidopsis thaliana (thale cress)
Lineage: Eukaryota; Viridiplantae; Streptophyta; Magnoliopsida; Brassicales; Brassicaceae
Source: RNAcentral